CCUACGGGAGGCAGCAGUGGGGGAUAUUGCACAAUGGGGGAAACCCUGAUGCAGCGACGCCGCGUGAGUGAAGAAUUAUUUCGGUAUGUAAAGCUUUAUCUGCAGGGAAGAAAAUGACAGUACCUGACCAAGAAGCCCCGGCUAACUACGUGCCAGCAGGCGCGGUAAUACGUAGGGAGCCAGCGUAAUCCGGAUUUACUGGGUGUAAAGGGAGCGUAGACGGUUAUGUAAGUCUGGAGUGAAAGCCUGGGGCCCAACGCCGGGACUGCUUUGGAAACUGUGUAACUGGAGUACAGGCGGGGCAGGCGGAAUUCCUGGUGUAGCGGUGAAAUGCGUAGAUAUCAGGAGGAACCCCGACGGCGAAGGCAGCCUGCUGGACUGAAACUGACGUUGAGGCUCGAAAGCGUGGGGAGCAAACAGGAUUAGAUACCCUUGUAGUC
This 440-nucleotide ribosomal RNA is filed under the name uncultured bacterium. RNAcentral's name for it is "partial 16S ribosomal RNA". It matches the Rfam family "Bacterial small subunit ribosomal RNA", at positions 338 to 795 of the family's 1533-position model. The record is from RNAcentral.